CUCUUCAAAGGGAAGCAGGAGAAUCAGAUUCAAGACACCGUUUUGCCACUGGUGCAUGACCUUGGACAGGUCACCAGCCCUGUCUGGCCUCAGCUUCUUCAUCUGGCUGCUCUGGGAACACAGCAGAGCAGUGACUGUUCAACUUAGAAGGGCAGGGUGAUGCCUGAGCGAGGGUGGUGUGUGCCCCAAAACACCAGCCUCGAAGCUUCUAAGGUGCUCCCACUACUACUUAUGGACAUGCGGCCCAUCCCUUAAGUGGGGGUGCAGUGGGGAAAAUUUGAGGACUUACUGGACUAGACCAGCAAGAUCCCUUCUAGGAGUCUGACAUUAUUUUUUUGGCCACACUCAAGGCACGUGGAAGUUCCCAGACCACGGAUUGAACCUGUACCACAGUAGCAACCCAAGCCACUGCAGUGACGAUGCCGGAUCCUUAACCCACUGCACCACAGGGGCCGGGGAGAAGUUCAAUAUUUAUCCACACAUACUCCCACUGUUCACCAUAUUUCUGGAAUUUUUUAGAAAUCUCUUUCAAAGAAUAUACUUUUGAAUCUUCUAAAAGGGGUAGAAAAUCUCUCACUGGCAUUUAGAAACAACCAAAAAUGCAAGGGUCCCCUAGAAAUUGUGCAAUCAAGCUGAGUAAUAACAUUUUUGAUCAGAACUUCAGUGUGGACCAUGCCAAAGUUAGAGUCAAGCGAAGACUGGAAGGAACUGGGAAAUGCUUUAAGCUGUGGCUCCUUUUUUCUUUUACCUUUUUUUUUUUUUUUCUUUUGGCCACACCUGAAGCAUACAGAAGUUCCCAGGCCAGGAACCGAACUAGAGCCACAGCAGUAACCAGAGCCACGGCAGUGGCAAUGCCUGAUCCUUAACCUACUGAGCCACCAGGGAACCCCCCUCCCUUUUUCACUUUAAAGUUGAAUUACCAAAUGAAAUACCGAAAAGUUUGGCGGGAAGAAAAAGGACUGAUUUGUUUAACAUGAACAUUGACCCUGAAGGGGUGAUUUUGUUUUUGAAAGAGACAACAUUCCUUUGGAUGAAUAAGUUCAGGUACAUUUGUGGGAAAAACAAAACACCAGCAAAUAUUUCGCUUUAUUGGCAAGCGGUACUUAAUUUUCCUAGGAGAAACAGUUAUAUGGACAAGCUAUAUGUUUUAAGAAGCAUGGACUCCAAAAGACACAAACAAUUCAUUAACUUUUGAUUUACAAACAGUUUUGAGUCAAAAAUUUCCAAUGGCUUCACAACCAGCUAUCAAAAGAAUUCUGUCUGGGAGUUCCCACCGUGGCUUCGCAGAAACGAAUCUGACUUGCAUCCGUAACUAUGUAGGUUUGAUCCCUAGCAUGGCUCAGUGGGUUAAGGACCCAGCGUUGCAGGCCAGCGGCUACAGCUCCAAUUUGACCCCUAACCUGAGAACCUCCAUGUGUAGCAGUUUGGUCCUAAAUAGAUGAAAACAACAACAACAAAGAAUUGUGGGGGGCUACCCGCAAAACCAAAUUAUCCCGAGGUAUUUUAGGGUGCCCAUGGAAGCCACAUCUGCUAGAAAGCUGACCUGAAACCACUGCAGACCAAAAGACCCUGCAGUGGGGUCUUGGUUCACUAUUGUGGCAUGGGUUCAAUCCCUGGCCUUGGAAACUCUACAUGCCUUGGGUGUUGCCCUGCACCCCCAAAAAAAGGAUAAAAAAAAAAGCUUAUAAAGACGGAAAAAGUGAGGCUUGAUGAGAUUUGUUAAGAACAAAUUAACAAAUCAGAAUAAAACAUUUUAUCAAUAGCCUUUAGGUACAAGUACAUAAGGUAUCAUAAAGAAACUGUUGUGGUUAUUCACGUCAAAACAUACGCAAAAUAAAACCUAAACAUUCCAUUUUUGCUUGACUUAAAAUCUAGCCUGCUGAAAAAAAUAGCUUACUUACUUUAAAAUGGUUAUCAUGAAACUAAUUUAAAGUUAGUUCUGUGCUUUUAAAAACAUCCGAUAUUGCUUGGGGGCUGGAGGAGAGGGCUGUAAAAAAGUACAUACGGCCAGCAAAUUCCAGUUCUAGGAAUUUACCCCAAGGAAAUAAUUAGCAGUUAGGAUGGGUUCAAGAGGUUAUCAAUACAGUUUACCACAAGUGUUGAUAGUAGUGAAAAUUGAAAACAGCUUCAAUAUCUAAAUGGUUGAAUGGUUGAAUUAUGGUAUACCCAUUCAGAGAAAUAUUAUGCAAGUGAGAAUAACAUUAUAGAAUUAAAUUUAUUGACACAGAAAGAUUUAUGAGGAGUUCCCGUCGUGGUGCAGCGGAAAUGAACCUGACUAGGAACCGUGAGGUUGCAGAUUCAAUCCCUGGCCUUGCUCAGUGGGUUAAGGAUCCCGCAUUGCCGUGAGCUGUGGUGUAGGUCGCAGACGUGGCUCAGAUCCCGCGUUGCUGUGGCUCUGGUGUAGGCCAGUGGCUACAGCUCCGAUUAGACCCCUGGCCUGGGAACCUCUAUGUGCUGCGGGUGCGGCCCUAAUAAGACAAAAGACAAAAG
This 2490-nucleotide long non-coding RNA is filed under the name Sus scrofa (pig). RNAcentral describes it as "lncRNA (ENSSSCG00035080486.1)". The record is from RNAcentral. Lineage: Eukaryota; Metazoa; Chordata; Mammalia; Artiodactyla; Suidae.